UACAGAGGUCUCAAGCGUUGUCCGGAUUCAUUGGGCGUAAAGAGCGUGUAGGCGGCCAGGUAGGUCGGUUGUGAAAACUGGAGGCUCAACCUUCAGAGGUCGACCGAAACCAUCUGGCUAGAGUCCGGGAGAGGAGAGUGGAAUUCCUGGUGUAGCGGUGAAAUGCGCAGAUAUCAGGAAGAACACCCGUGGCGAAAGCGGCUCUCUGGAACGGUACUGACGCUGAGACGCGAAAGCGUGGGGAGCGAACAGG
Molecule: ribosomal RNA, 253 nt
Filed under: uncultured bacterium
Lineage: Bacteria
Description: partial 16S ribosomal RNA
Rfam family: Bacterial small subunit ribosomal RNA
Source: RNAcentral